AUUGAACGCUGGCGGCAGGCUUAACACAUGCAAGUCGAGCGAGCGGCGGACGGGUGAGUAAUGUAUGGGAAACUGCCUGAUGGAGGGGGAUAACUACUGGAAACGGUAGCUAAUACCGCAUACCAUCAGAUGUGCCCAGUUGGGAUUAGCUAGUAGGUGGGGUAAUGGCUCACCUAGGCGACGAUCCCUAGCUGGUCUGAGAGGAUGACCAGCCACACUGGGACUGAGACACGGUCCAGACUCCUACGGGAGGCAGCAGUGGGGAAUAUUGCACAAUGGGCGAAAGCCUGACGGAGCAACGCCGCGUGUGUGAAGAAGGCCUUCGGGUUGUAAAGCACUUUCAGCGAGGAGGCGGUACUCGCAGAAGAAGCACCGGCUAACUCCGUGCCAGCAGCCGCGGUAAUUC
Molecule: ribosomal RNA, 406 nt
Filed under: uncultured bacterium
Lineage: Bacteria
Description: partial 16S ribosomal RNA
Rfam family: Bacterial small subunit ribosomal RNA
Source: RNAcentral